Molecule: small RNA, 142 nt
Filed under: Agrobacterium albertimagni AOL15
Lineage: Bacteria; Pseudomonadati; Pseudomonadota; Alphaproteobacteria; Hyphomicrobiales; Rhizobiaceae
Description: Alphaproteobacterial sRNA ar35
Rfam family: Alphaproteobacterial sRNA ar35 (bases 20-142)
Source: Rfam by way of RNAcentral
GCUGAUAUUGCGGGGUUGAAAUUCGGUCCGUGUAGGGUAUCAUAAUGGUCAAGAGAUUUGCCUCCUGCGUUGACCACGGAUGUACUGGCAACGGUGUUGAGGCAGAUGAGGAAGGUCGGGCUAAGUCCCGGCCUUUUGCUUU